UUUUAAUAUAAUUGCAAUUAUACCUUCCUCAAAGUCAAAAUAUUCUAUAUGAAAGUGUAGCUUCACGGUCUAAUUGCCCAAGCUAAAAUUUCGUUCAUUUUAAUGAAUUGAUGGACUAUGUAUUCACAUUAGGAUGUUUCAAGUUAUUCCUGCCUUUUGACUAGAUUUUUAUUUCUAAAAACAUCAGAUUAGUCAUCAGAUUAAACCCAUGUUGAACUAGUAAAAGGUAAGCUUGCUUUACAUUUUUUGCUCUUUUUAUAUGAACUCCUUCAAUUACAAUCAUAAUCAUUCAAAAUUUGUAACUUUUGUACUAGGGCAUACUCAGUUUUAUCUAAUAUAUUAUGUGGUUCUAUAAUUCAUAUACACGAGGACAAAAAGGUUUGUACAAUUUUAUUAGCCCACUACACAUGAUCAUGAACAGAAUCUUGCUGGGGAUGGUCUUACAGCUGCUGUCCCUUUCCCGAGAUCUCAUUUAUUCAGCAGGGACAUAGUUGUGUUUGAUGUCCUUCCAAAGUUUCUGAUAAAAAGAACGAUAAUGAUAGUGUAAUGGUAUAUUAGCAGAAAAGCUGUAGUUCUUCCCCUUUUAUGCUCACCCCUUUGUUGAUUUCGCUGUACAAGUGCUCGGUGGCCAUGUCGAAACCUCGCUCGAAAAAGAAGGCGCCGGUCACAAUGGCCAAAGCGUACGUGGAAGAACGACGCAAAACGUUGUUGUACAGUUUAGCGACCAAAGACAUCGUGAAUUAUUAUUGAAUAUUGAAAAAUAAUGGAUUCAACAGCCCAGUGAACUGAUUAGAUCUAGUCGUGAAUUGGGACGAACAAGAAUGCACUGUGCAGACGAUGCACGUUCGGAAAAACAAUCGCGAAACGAAAGGCGAUAUUCAAAAUGGCGUCAUGCAUCAGCCUCUGAAGCGCUUCGUUUAAACAGGGGUAUAGUGUAUAGAGGGAUCCCUGUCCCUAUAUUCCCCUGGUUUAAAUAUGUGACUCAUCUAUUAUCGCAAAAUUAGAUUUUUUAUUACAAUAUCAUCAUAUUCUACCUCUCGCUUUGAAUGAAAAAUCGACUUUAGUAGACACACAUGUUUACUCGAUAAACAUAGAUGUACAAAUUUUUUCAAGUAUCAUUUGAAAUAACAGUGAAGCGAUGGAGCGAUGGAAGAAAUCCUAGAUUGCAAUUUAAACAAAGUAAAAUAUGUUAAAAAAGUCAAUUGAUAAAUUGCAGAGUGAAUUUUUGGUUCAACUUGUUAUAUGAUGCAUAUGAUUAUAUGAUACAUAGGCAUUAUGUUUUUCGUAACCUAGAUCUUAAAUUUAUCAAAUUUGAUGUUCUCAACAUGUUGAAUGAAGUCAUCAAACUUUGGGAAAUCAUUGUUAAAAGAAAUUCCCUUGUUGACACCAUUAUUUGUUUCUGGUAUGUGUUUGUAAGGAUAUUCAGGCUCCGAUGGUGGUGCCUCGCUGUAUGCCGGAGAAGGGUAGGCCAGUGGUGAGUGCACUUGUGGCUUGUAAACCGGUGAUUCUGUGUAAGCAGGAGUUUCAACACCUGUUGGAGUGUAGGCUGGAGAACUAUAAGCAGCUGAACCGGCUCCGCCUUCACAACCAGAAGUCGAACAAGCCAAUCCAUCUCCAACGUCUUAUUCUAGUUUUUGGCUUUUGUUCAGCGGAAUACAGUGGCAUCCUUUGCUGAUCGGUCUUCACAUUUGGCAAAAAUUAACCGCAAAAGGAUGGCAAGGAUACGUUGCCAAACCAGACACAUCCGCCUUAAUGACGAUUCGCCACAAUACACUGUAUGAUUGGGAACAGAGACAGCACAUUUUUCAGCAGAUAUAUAUGAUAUAUCUGCUAUGACAAGCAAUUCAAUAAUCGUGGUUCCAAAAACCUGAAAGGAACUCUUGAACGACGGCUACGAGAUCCCUAGCUUCUUAUUCUGAUUUAUCAAGCGAUUGUAUCACUUCACCGUAAACUGAAAGGUUAUCGGUUAAAUUUUGUCAUGUAAACCUUAAGAAAGCAUUCCUCGUAUUCAUAAUUAAAUUCAUGAUUCAUCGUUGGAAUAAAAGAGAAAUCGAAUACAGAAAUAAAUGAAACCGAGCACAGG
Long non-coding RNA from Daphnia magna, 2083 nucleotides. RefSeq lists it as uncharacterized. The record is from RefSeq and is a predicted model, not a curated record. Lineage: Eukaryota; Metazoa; Arthropoda; Branchiopoda; Diplostraca; Daphniidae. The transcript has 5 exons.